RNAcentral lists this ribosomal RNA (497 nucleotides) under uncultured bacterium. RNAcentral's name for it is "partial 16S ribosomal RNA". It matches the Rfam family "Bacterial small subunit ribosomal RNA", at positions 28 to 507 of the family's 1533-position model. The record is from RNAcentral.
GAUGAACGCUGGCGGCGUGCCUAAUACAUGCAAGUCGAGCGAACGGACGAGGAGCUUGCUCCUCUAACGUUAGCGGCGGACGGGUGAGUAACACGUGGAUAACCUACCUAUAAGACUGGGAUAACUUCGGGAAACCGGAGCUAAUACCGGAUAAUAUAUUGAACCGCAUGGUUCAAUAGUGAAAGACGGUUUUGCUGUCACUUAUAGAUGGAUCCGCGCCGCAUUAGCUAGUUGGUAAGGUAACGGCUUACCAAGGCAACGAUGCGUAGCCGACCUGAGAGGGUGAUCGGCCACACUGGAACUGAGACACGGUCCAGACUCCUACGGGAGGCAGCAGUAGGGAAUCUUCCGCAAUGGGCGAAAGCCUGACGGAGCAACGCCGCGUGAGUGAUGAAGGUCUUCGGAUCGUAAAACUCUGUUAUUAGGGAAGAACAAAUGUGUAAGUAACUAUGCACGUCUUGACGGUACCUAAUCAGAAAGCCACGGCUAACUACGUG